Molecule: ribosomal RNA, 495 nt
Filed under: uncultured bacterium
Lineage: Bacteria
Description: partial 16S ribosomal RNA
Rfam family: Bacterial small subunit ribosomal RNA
Source: RNAcentral
GAUGAACGCUGGCGGCGUGCCUAAUACAUGCAAGUCGAGCGAACAGACGAGGAGCUUGCUCCUCUGACGUUAGCGGCGGACGGGUGAGUAACACGUGGAUAACCUACCUAUAAGACUGGGAUAACUUCGGGAAACCGGAGCUAAUACCGGAUAAUAUAUUGAACCGCAUGGUUCAAUAGUGAAAGACGGUUUUGCUGUCACUUAUAGAUGGAUCCGCGCCGCAUUAGCUAGUUGGUAAGGUAACGGCUUACCAAGGCAACGAUGCGUAGCCGACCUGAGAGGGUGAUCGGCCACACUGAAAGUGAGACGGGGUACAGACUCCUGCGAGGGGCAGGAGUAGGGAAUCCUCCGAAAGGGGCGAACGCGACACAGAGCAACGCCGCGUGAGUGAUGAAGGUCUUGGGAGCGAAAAACUCUGUUAUGGGGGAAAAAAAAGUGUGUAAGUAACUAUGCGCGUCGACGGGGUACCUAAUCAGAAAGCCGGCGAUAACUACG